This is an unclassified non-coding RNA of Pongo abelii (Sumatran orangutan), 148 nucleotides long. It matches the Rfam family "Metazoan signal recognition particle RNA". Rfam says of the family: The signal recognition particle (SRP) is a universally conserved ribonucleoprotein. It is involved in the co-translational targeting of proteins to membranes. The record is from Ensembl. NCBI's taxonomy places the organism in Eukaryota, Metazoa, Chordata, Mammalia, Primates, Hominidae.
GCUAGGCAUGGUGGCAUGUGCCUGUAGUCCCAGCUACUAGGGAGGCUGAGGCAGGAGGAUCACUUGAGCCCAGGAGGUCUUGGCUGCAGUGAGCUAUGAUUGCACCACUGCACUCCAGCCUGGGCGACAGAGUGAGACCCUGUCUCAA